Molecule: long non-coding RNA, 388 nt
Organism: Felis catus (domestic cat)
Lineage: Eukaryota; Metazoa; Chordata; Mammalia; Carnivora; Felidae
Exons: 2
Source: RefSeq, a predicted model, not a curated record
UGUAAAUUCGUUUUUGAUUUUGUUUUUGAUACCUGUUGUAAAACGAGGGAGAAAACGGGUUAUGUUGUUUGUAAAGGUCACAGAGAUGUAUAUUUUGAGGACCACAGUUACAGGGUCAGUAUUGGGACUGAAGCAAGGCCAUGACCGGAGCUGCCCAGCCCAAAGCCUUGCCAUGCAGACAGCACCAAAUUCAAGCCAUUUUACAACCACCACCCCAAAGAAGAAAACCUAACUAUCGGCAUUGUAUUUGAUAUCGACGGCUCCGAAAAUAUGUCCAUUUUAAGCUCACACGGGAGGCCCCACCACCGGGGAUGGCCUAGGAGAUCACUGGAGCCACACCAACUGAUGCAGAAACAGGGGGAGGGGGAGGCGGCCAGGGAGCCGCCGG